CAACCAUCAAGCCCCCAGGCUUGUGUUGGGGCCCUGCGGCCGCCCGCAGCCCCCGAAAUGCAGUGGCGGGCUCGCUAUCGCACCGAGCGCAGUAGGUAACUCCUCGCUCAGGGCGCGACGGCGGGCGCCGGCCGUGAAAACCUCCACUACAA
RNAcentral lists this unclassified non-coding RNA (152 nucleotides) under uncultured fungus. RNAcentral's name for it is "sequence contains ITS2". The record is from RNAcentral. Lineage: Eukaryota; Fungi.